GCAUCCAUAGCUGAAUGGGUAAAGCACCCAACUCAACAUUGGUGAAUUCGUAGGUUCGAUUCCUGCUGUAUGCA
This 74-nucleotide transfer RNA is filed under the name Platycodon grandiflorus (balloon flower). Its description in RNAcentral is "tRNA-Leu". It matches the Rfam family "tRNA". From Rfam's summary of the family: Transfer RNA (tRNA) molecules are approximately 80 nucleotides in length. Their secondary structure includes four short double-helical elements and three loops (D, anti-codon, and T loops). Lineage: Eukaryota; Viridiplantae; Streptophyta; Magnoliopsida; Asterales; Campanulaceae. The record is from RNAcentral.